This is a long non-coding RNA of Gopherus evgoodei (Goodes thornscrub tortoise), 4493 nucleotides long. RefSeq lists it as uncharacterized. The record is from RefSeq and is a predicted model, not a curated record. The transcript is spliced from 6 exons. NCBI's taxonomy places the organism in Eukaryota, Metazoa, Chordata, Testudines, Testudinidae.
ACAAGUUUAUUUAACUACACAGAGAGAGGUUUUAAAUGAGUAAAGUAAUGAGGCAUUAAAGUAAGAAAUGGUUACCAGAAAAAUAAAGAUAAUUUUUUUUCUAAACGUAACUAGGCUUAUGAAGUCCCUUCCCACAAGUACCAGUAACAUUGCUGCCCACACUCUCAGGUCAAGAUCUGCUUCCAUAGUCCAACAGCUGUUUUCUUAUAAUCUUAGGUGAAAGAGAGAGAUGAGUAGGAGAGAAUUUGGCAUGGUUUUGCCCCUCACUUUUAUAGUUAUCACCCUUUGAAAAGUGUUUGCUCAAGCUUGACCCUUAGGUAAAGUUCUUUCUUUCUGAGAGCAAGGAGACAUGGAGUCUGAUGUAGGAAGGAGGCUUUGUGCUGUUUUUUUUUCACCUGGGGAUGCUGAAAUUCUUCUUUCUUCCCCCUCUUGUCCUCUGUGGCCUUUGUUUACAGAUGAUAUGCUAUUUGAGGAAACAUGACAGGCCUGCUUGGCCAGCGCUACUUAAUCAGGGCUACGUGAAUUGGAACAUGUGCCUUUAACACCCUACAGGGGGAUUUCAUAACUUUACACAGAAUGUUGCUACGUAAAUUUCAAUAUGAUAGUGUUGAUCAGUGAAUUAUUACUUUUCAGCAGUUCUGUCACAAAGCAUAUCUGUCUGUGUUGCACACAGCUGUGGUGGCCUAGCUUAUAAGUAUUCUUGUUCUCUUUUCAGUUCCUAUUAACUCUGGGUAGAUGAGAGAAUGGCCAGCCUUCUGGCAGAGACCAAAAGGAGCUGCCACCCUGAGACCAUCCAGGGAAAUGGAAACCAGACAGUUACCUGUGGAGUAAGAGCAAAUAGAAGUUUGCUAAAUAUUGAGGGAUGGCUGCAAAGACUCUUGUCAGCAUGAGUUUGCAGAGGAAUCGUCCAGGAGCUCUAGCCAGAUAAGAAUAUGGCAGAAAUGGACCUGAGCAGCCUGGACAUCCUUCUAAGGAUACAUAAACAGUCCUCAUAUUUCUGCCUUCUGCAUCGCUGGCUUACCAAGGGAAAAGAAAUCAAACAUCAGAGUUUACUUUCCUCAUCGGAUGGAAAGCGAGCGAGAGCAGUGAGCCUGCGAGCAUUGUUGAUGCAAGUGAAGAGCCGUCCGGUUGGCAGUUGCUACUGUCAGUGAGAUACAUGUCUGGUUUCGAGAGGGCUUUGCUCAUGACCCGCCUGGCUCCAGAUAGGGCCGCCCCAUUGACUGGGGCUGGGUUUGUGAGAAACGCUUCCUGACCAGCUGUGCUUACGAGAGAGACAAGAUCCCCAUUUUCAGGGGCUGCUCAGUUCUCUGGCCAGAAGCGGUGUGUCCUCCACAGCAGAAGGUUGCAUCUAGGAGGAUGACUCCAGUUUGCAGAGGAAUCAUCCAGGAGCCCAACCGGACAAGAAUAUGGCAGAAGUGGACCUGAGCAGCCUCGACAUCCUUCUAAGGAGACACGAAUAGUCCUCAUGUUUCCGCUUUCUGCAUCACGGGCUAUGAGUAAGAGUACCAAGGAAAAUGAAGUCGCGCAUCAAAGUCUACUGCUCUGAUGCGAUGGAAAGCGAGCAAGAGCGUCGAGACUCUGACCAUUGUUGAUGCCACGCAAAAGCUGUCCAUCUGGAAGCCGAGGAGAUGCUGCUGUCAGCGAGAUAAGUGUCUGGUUUGGGGAGGGCUCUGCUCACGCCCAACCCGAGUCCAGGUAGGGAAGCCCAGUACGGUAAGGCUGGGUUUGUAUGAAAAGGUUCCUGACUAGCUGUGGUCACGAGGGAGAAAAGGUCCCUGUUUUCAGAGGUUGCUCAUUUUUCUGGUCAGGAACAGUGUCUCCUGCACAGGGGGAGGUUGGAUCCAGGAGGAUGACUCAGGUGGUGAGUUGCUUGCUUUCCUCCCAUUUGUCUCUCCCUUCUCUAGUGUGUUGGCCAACUUUCUCACUCUCUUCCCUCUCCUCUCCUCGUGUCGUCUCACUUCCUAAGACACGGGCAGACAUGUUAGGUGCGCAUCCCUACAGGCUAGGUCUCGGGAUCCAUGGAGUAGCGGGAGCUGACGAAAAUCAUGCGUAGCAGUGGCUGUUGGUGUUAACUCUGUCUCUGUUGAUGGAGUGGGGCUGAGGUAGAUUGGGUUGGAGAGGGAUGCCAGGUUGAGGGCAAGAUUCGAAGCACCAGUAGAGCUUUGUGUAGUGAUGGCUCAUGCUUGGCUUUUGCAGCUGCUCUUCCAAAGCAAUUUUCCAGGAGUCCUAGACUGAGGAGAAAGUGGCAGAAGUGGACAUGAACAAUCCUCAGCUUUCUGACUCCCGCACAACUGGCUGUGAGUAAGCAGUCAGUGGUCUGAAUUCCUCAUCUGUGCUCGCUGUAGUACUCUUCUCAGGCCUUGUGCUUCCUCGUUGAGUGCGAGGCUCUGUCAGAUUACGCUGGCGAGGGGCCAGAGUCUGCUGUGCAGAGUGAUUGUUUCGGGUGCCGUUGGAAGGGGUGCUUUUUAGUUGUUGUGCUAAAGACGUAAUGGGGGGGAGGGUUUGGGGCGGAGUACUGCCGCGUGGGAGAGGUGAAUAGAACGUUUCCCACUCUGAUGAUAACUGUGAUUAAUGUGCAUAAAUAUUUGUUAGGCCUCAACCUUCUGGAAAUUGUGUGAAGCGAGUACAGAUGAAUCCUGCAAGAAUAGGUGUAAUCUAACUAGGAAGCUUUGUAGAGUAAAAAGGAAACUCUGUAAAGGUAGAUACAGACCUGUGGUUACUAUGCUCUGCAACCAAAUACCUCUUGAAUCUCAUUUGAGCAUUUUUGAGUCUAGAAAAUUAAACACUAUUAGCCCCAUAGAAAAGAGAUGACCUGAGCACAGGUGCACAGUUCAUAAGAUCAAGACAACUGCACAUACCACACGGAAACAUUUGGCCGCCUUCAUUGAUUGAUGUGUUUUGAAACAUGGCCAGCAAAUACCAUAUAAAUAAGAUGCAGGGGCGCAAGUGUGUUUGUGUGUGUGUGUGUGUGUGUGCGUGUGUGCGUUGGCCUAAAAGAGGUCACUCUUUGUCAGGCUCAUAUACACCCCUUGAACCAAAGGGACUUGCUCUUCACUGACUGACUAUGCCUGGCAGUGCAGGAAAUGGUCAACUGAAGGUAAUGUAUCUUUGGAAGAACUCAGGGUAAGUUUUUAAAGUGAAGAGGUCUGGUUAUGCUCGUGCUGGUUAAUCUUAAGUCUGUAUUAAUACUAUAGUUUAGUUAUAUUAGUAAAUUGUUGAAGUUGUUUAAAGAUUGUAAUAGUCAAUAGUUGAUCAAUAUAUAAUAACUGUAUAUGUUUUUGUGCCUUUCUGGGAAUGGGUACAGUGCUGGUGAACCUAGUAGCUUUGCAUGUCGCUGUGCCUGUCUUUUAUAUAAGUUACCAUCAUAAAAGUCAAUAAAUGCUUAUAAGUUGUUAUACAAAGUUAUAGGUAGGUUAAGGUUAGUAAAAUAUAGUUAGUCCAUGUAUUAAUAUUGCAUAUAGAAUUGUAUUUGUUGGGGUGGGUGCAGUACAUGUAAGGUUACUAGGCAAUCAGUAAUAGUAGCAUUGCAUGCGCUUGUAACUAUUUUCAAUAUUAUUUACCUUUUAUAUGUGCACUUAUAGGAAUAGGCAGUUAUUGCAUAAUAUUACUUGUACUUGUGCUUGUCUCCAGUAUAAUUUGCAAUUUGUAUUAAUCCUCACUCAGUGCUGGUCUUUAAUUCUGUUUUUCUUAUUCUGUCUGUGUUGCCUUUAUAGUCAUAAGUCAUUAAAAACCUUUCUGGAGGAAUAAUUAAUUGCUUAGUUUCUGUUUUGCAGACACUAUUCAGCCUCUUUACAUCUGUGUUGGGUGGUGGGAAGUAGCGAUCACCCAGAGCCCCACUAGGACCCUGACGUGAGCCCCCCUAGGGCUCUGACAUCUGCCUCCUCCUUCCAUUAAUCUCCACAAUAACUUUGUUUUUCCUUCUUGUGCUGGGUUUAGUACCCAGGGAAAAGAAAUCAAACGUCAGUCUACUGCCCUCGUGCGAUGUAAAGCGAGUGAGAGCAGUGAGCCCACGAGCAUGGUUGAUGCACGUGAGGAGCCAUCCAGUUGGCAGUGGAGCAGUUGCUGUGUCUGUGAGAUGAGUGUCUGGUUUGCCGGCACCAAGCAGAACCUGGCCACAGAGCACCACUACAGCCAUGGCUACAGCAGGUGUCCUAUAUGCCUGAGCUGCUCAGGGACGAAAACGCAUGUGGGCUCCUGGCUGCUGAACAACCUGCCCCACAUCUCACCCUCUCCUGUUCCCAGAGUAGUCUGCUCACAACAGAAACCAAGACCAGCCCCCAACUGGCCUGGCGCCCACUGCCCCUAAUGUGGAAAGCCUGAUGUCUGGUGGGGGAAACAUCUCAGCUGUAGUGUCAGGACUUACUAUUACAAACGUCUCUCUGUCCCAGUUUCCAACCUGUUGCGGUUACUGACACCUACAUGGCAAGUUUUUGCUGUCCUGCUGCAAUUUGCUACCCCCACAAUUCAGCGGGCCUGGGUCUAGGAGUAGUGAU